CCACAUCACUCCCCUCCGAGACUGGAGGUC
This 30-nucleotide small RNA is filed under the name Bombyx mori (domestic silkworm). Its description in RNAcentral is "ovarian small RNA-13492". Lineage: Eukaryota; Metazoa; Arthropoda; Insecta; Lepidoptera; Bombycidae. The record is from RNAcentral.